RNAcentral lists this ribosomal RNA (582 nucleotides) under uncultured bacterium. Its description in RNAcentral is "bacterial SSU rRNA". It matches the Rfam family "Bacterial small subunit ribosomal RNA", at positions 8 to 598 of the family's 1533-position model. The record is from RNAcentral.
AGAGUUUGAUCCUGGCUCAGGAUGAACGCUAGCGGCAGGCCUAAUACAUGCAAGUCGAACGGUGAUAGCAAUAUCAUAGUGGCGCACGGGUGCGUAACACGUAUGCAACCUACCUAUUAUUGGGGGAUAGCCUUUGGAAACGGAGAUUAAUACCGCAUAAUACGAUUGACUGGCAUCGGUUGAUUGUUAAAGCUUUGGCGAUAAUAGAUGGGCAUGCGUCCAAUUAGUUAGUUGGUUAGGUAACGGCUGACCAAGACGAUGAUUGGUAGGGAAUCUGAGAGGAUAAUCCCCCACACUGGCACUGAGAUACGGGCCAGACUCCUACGGGAGGCAGCAGUAGGGAAUAUUGGGCAAUGGGCGGAAGCCUGACCCAGCCAUGCCGCGUGCAGGAAGGAGGCGUUAUGCGUUGUAAACUGCUUUUUUAUAGGAAGAAGGAUCCCUUGCGAGGGAAGGUGACGGUACUAUAAGAAUAAGCACCGGCUAACUCCGUGCCAGCAGCCGCGGUAAUACGGAGGGUGCAAGCGUUGUCCGGAUUUAUUGGGUUUAAAGGGUGCGUAGGCGGUUUAUUAAGUCAGUGGUGAA